RNAcentral lists this ribosomal RNA (253 nucleotides) under uncultured bacterium. RNAcentral describes it as "partial 16S ribosomal RNA". It matches the Rfam family "Bacterial small subunit ribosomal RNA", at positions 524 to 776 of the family's 1533-position model. The record is from RNAcentral.
UACGGAGGGGGCGAGUGUUGUUCGGAAUUAUUGGGCGUAAAGCGUCUGUAGGUGGCUUUUUAAGUCCGCCGUCAAAUCCCAGGGCUCAACUCUGGACAGGCGGUGGAAACUACCAAGCUGGAGUACGGUAGGGGCAGAGGGAAUUUCCGGUGGAGCGGUGAAAUGCGUAGAGAUCGGAAAGAACACCAACGGCGAAGGCAGCUCGCUGGGACGGUACUGACGCUGAGGCGCGAAAGCGUGGGGAGCAAACAGG